AAAGAGAAAACCGGAAGUAGAAAAAAAAAACACAAUAUUAUAAAUCUAACAAGUGAGCUUUGUUGUCGAAACAGAAAAUGACAGUUAUCACCCAAAAGUUUGUUUAUAAUAGUAGCGAGAAGCAAAGUAAGCGUAACUAAACUGAGUGGAAAAUGAUCAAAAGCUAUGUUGUCUAGCAUCAGAAAGAAGAAACGUUUGACAGUACCAUGAAAACAAUGUCCGAUCCAAUCUCGCUUGUUGAGACGUUGACACUCAAUUAAAAGAACUACCAAAUAAGGGAAAAUAACUGUGAUACUCACGUAAUAUUCAUCCCUGCAAAUUUGUAUCUCGUCGUCUUCAACCGCAGCAUUACACAUCACAACAGACGAAAUCCCCAAGGUUUCGAUGGCCAUUGAUGUUCGGCUGUUACUGGAGAUGCUGCCUAAUGAGAUGGUGAAAGGUGUGCUUAAAGCAGUUUCUGCUCCUGUUGCUGUCCUUGGUGUCACAAUUCAGUGUGUUAUUCGUUUAUUUGUCUGUCGUCAUGUCAAAUCUCUUCCAUCUCUGUCACUCAAAUCUCAUCCAUGCACUCAUGCAGUAUACGAUUGAGACAAUCUGAUCUUACAUGAUCUAGGAGUGAUUCAAUCGACUACUGCAAGAUCAAAAAACUUUCUACGCCAAACAAAUAAUAACGCAGUGUUAUUAUCGCGCUUGAGAGAGCAUCAGGACCCCUACCAUCAAAUAAAAUUAUGGGUCUUUCGUUUAA
Daphnia pulex (common water flea) is the source of this 742-nucleotide long non-coding RNA. RefSeq lists it as uncharacterized. The record is from RefSeq and is a predicted model, not a curated record. The transcript is spliced from 2 exons. Lineage: Eukaryota; Metazoa; Arthropoda; Branchiopoda; Diplostraca; Daphniidae.